Drosophila kikkawai is the source of this 1535-nucleotide long non-coding RNA. RefSeq lists it as uncharacterized. NCBI's taxonomy places the organism in Eukaryota, Metazoa, Arthropoda, Insecta, Diptera, Drosophilidae. The record is from RefSeq and is a predicted model, not a curated record.
UAACGUCGGGCCAAUGACGGGGCAACUUUUUGCCGACGUUGUUGUGAUUCUUGAUUUUUAAAUAAAAUAUAACAACAAAUACUCGUUUCGGUAUCGGUGUUCAGUAUCUCAAUCUGUAUCUGUGUCUGUAUCUGUAUCUAUAGCGCUAGUGCUGUGCUAGCCCUAGCUCUAGCUGUAUCUGCUGUUGCUGUGUUGCGUGCUUUUUGUUAUUUGUUUUAAUUUGACUUUGAUGUUUUUACAACCCUAGGGGUGCGGUGGUAGCCAUAAAAAAAGCAAAACAGAGCAGCGGAUCGUUCGUUUAUUUUUGUUUGCAUUUGGUAUCUCACAAAAAAAUAAAAAAAUAUUAUUCUGUCUAAUUAAGGCGAAAGUUUUCUACAUAGAACAUAUGUAAGUUCCACCUGUAGAGGUGGCACGAGCCUCGAACGUAACGGCAACAGAGCACCUUUGAUAACAACACACGCCCCUCCAUCCCUAUCGGCGCUACCAAAUCAGCUGAGAAGCACUAACUGCUCACAUACAAACUUAUGUAGAUUGUUUCCAUCCACUCUAUUUCGUUGCGUUUCGAAAUUCAAAUCGGGGAAAGGCAAUCAAAAGAAAACAGAACGCUUCACAUCGCUGGAGGUAACAACGCCUUUUAAUUUGAACUCUUUCCUGUAUGAAUGAAGAAGUGGGAAUAUAUUUGCAUAAGAAAUCAGAAUCCCCAGCAAAGCAAAUAAAAAAGGCAUAAAACGCAUCAACCUCCCCGAUCUUUUCAUAAAGAUUCACUUUCAGCUGGAGCAGCAUCCCGAGAUCAACAGCCGGGAUUGGGAAUGGGCAAGGGAAUGCUAAAUGUUACUUGGUCUUGGUCUUGGUCUUCUUGGACUGCCCAUCGACACACUCCAAUUUCGCCAGGCAUUUAUGCAAAUAUUUAGUGGAAGUGCAGCAACAUGUUUCUGGUGUCCAAACAUCGGCGGGCCUGCUGUUGCUGUCUUUAGCUUUUGGCAUCCACAUAUUUGCGGUUAGUUUAUUGACCGAGUUCCAGCCAGUAACCGGUUCUCCUGCAACGAAAAUCGUACCAGGAAUAAUAAUACCAAGACCGCACGCCAUCGUUUCAUUAGCCGCAGACUGGGAGCAGGCCAGGCCAAAAGGCCCAUUCUCAGGCCAAGGCUCAGGCUCAAACUCUGGCUCAGGCAUUGCAGUUAAUUUCGCCACAUUGUCACAUACUUUUGCCACCCCGAGGGGCGUUCGCAACCGAGUCGGAGUCGGAGUCGAACUUGAGCUGGAGAAGAUUUCCGUUCACUGCGGUUUUGGCUAACCAAUUAUCAGCGAUUCCAUGACACUUUGCCCGACGAUGACUUGACAUUUGGCAGCGACUGUGAGAUAAAAAAGCACAUAAAGUAAGUCAAAGAUAAAAUAAACUUUUAAACUGUAGUUGUACCUUACACAUAAAAAAAUAGAGAAAUUGCACUUAUUAAUGCAGUUAUUAACCAUCUUGAAAAAAUAUAAUUCAAUUUUUUAAAGCUUAAAAAGUGUAUGCGCCAAUAAAAAAAAAAUUC